GAUGAACGCUGGCGGCGUGCCUAAUACAUGCAAGUCGAGCGAACAGACGAGGAGCUUGCUCCUUCGACGUUAGCGGCGGACGGGUGAGUAACACGUAGGUAACCUACCUAUAAGACUGGGAUAACUUCGGGAAACCGGAGCUAAUACCGGAUAACAUUUCGAACCGCAUGGUUCGAUAGUGAAAGAUGGCUUUGCUAUCACUUAUAGAUGGACCUGCGCCGUAUUAGCUAGUUGGUAAGGUAACGGCUUACCAAGGCAACGAUACGUAGCCGACCUGAGAGGGUGAUCGGCCACACUGGAACUGAGACACGGUCCAGACUCCUACGGGAGGCAGCAGUAGGGAAUCUUCCGCAAUGGGCGAAAGCCUGACGGAGCAACGCCGCGUGAGUGAUGAAGGUCUUCGGAUCGUAAAACUCUGUUAUUAGGGAAGAACAAGCGUGUAAGUAACUGUGCACGUCUUGACGGUACCUAAUCAGAAAGCCACGGCUAACUACGUG
This 497-nucleotide ribosomal RNA is filed under the name uncultured bacterium. RNAcentral's name for it is "partial 16S ribosomal RNA". It matches the Rfam family "Bacterial small subunit ribosomal RNA", at positions 28 to 507 of the family's 1533-position model. The record is from RNAcentral.